GAAGUCUUCAAUUCCGUAGUGCAUUGCAGUUUGUUAUUUAAAAAAUUACUGCAAGCAUUGUGGAAAUGAUGAUUUUAU
RNAcentral lists this microRNA precursor (78 nucleotides) under Lucilia cuprina (Australian sheep blowfly). Its description in RNAcentral is "mir-932 microRNA precursor family". It matches the Rfam family "mir-932 microRNA precursor family". The record is from Rfam by way of RNAcentral. Lineage: Eukaryota; Metazoa; Arthropoda; Insecta; Diptera; Calliphoridae.